RNAcentral lists this ribosomal RNA (273 nucleotides) under uncultured Pectobacterium sp. Its description in RNAcentral is "partial 16S ribosomal RNA". It matches the Rfam family "Bacterial small subunit ribosomal RNA", at positions 1079 to 1352 of the family's 1533-position model. Lineage: Bacteria; Pseudomonadati; Pseudomonadota; Gammaproteobacteria; Enterobacterales; Pectobacteriaceae. The record is from RNAcentral.
GUUAAGUCCCGCAACGAGCGCAACCCUUAUCCUUUGUUGCCAGCGGUUCGGCCGGGAACUCAAAGGAGACUGCCCGUGAUAAACUGGAGGAAGGGGGGGAUGACCUCCAGUCAUCAUGGCCCUUACCAGUAGGGCUACACACGUGCUACAAUGGCGUAUACAAAAAGAAGCGACCUCGCGAGAGCAAGCGGACCUCAUAAAGUACGUCGUAAUCCGGAUUGGAGUCUGCAACUCGACUCCAUGAAGUCGGAAUCGCUAGUAAUCGUAAAUCAA